AGAUAUUGGAGUGACGGAGCAUUCAGACGUGUGGUCUUCUUUCUCCGCCGAUCCGUCCAAGUCCGUUCCCUUGGCUGUGGUUUCGCUAGACAGUAGAUAGCGAUAGUGGGAAUCUCGUUGAUCCAUUCAUGCGCGUCACUAAUUAGAUGACGAGGCAUUUGGC
Molecule: long non-coding RNA, 163 nt
Organism: Octopus sinensis (East Asian common octopus)
Lineage: Eukaryota; Metazoa; Mollusca; Cephalopoda; Octopoda; Octopodidae
Exons: 4
Source: RefSeq, a predicted model, not a curated record